RNAcentral lists this long non-coding RNA (480 nucleotides) under Cottoperca gobio. RNAcentral's name for it is "lncRNA (ENSCGOG00000007377.1)". The record is from RNAcentral. Lineage: Eukaryota; Metazoa; Chordata; Actinopteri; Perciformes; Bovichtidae.
UGUCAAUCUAAUGCUGAGAGCCCGCGCUAAAACCAGGACGUGUCUGAACCGUGAUGAGCACACGAGAUAUUCGUUAUGACUGUUUAUGAUCACACAAUGUAAAAAUCGAUCAGCUGAUUUCACAGAUUGCAACACAUGUUCAUGGACUUUUAUCGAUGUGACGAUGUUCACAGUGGACAUAUUUUUCCCGGAAACGAACGUGUGGACCUCUGGCAAUGCCUUAGGAGCGUCUUUUUAAAAAUAUUGCUGAAAAGAGGAUAUUUAUGAGGCUUUAUAGACCGGCAUGGCAGUGGAUCACAGAACAUGAGGGACACAAAGGCAAGAAUGAUGAAACCAAGAAAAAGACUGAGUGCGACAGAAACUUGGAGUAGAGGAUGUGCACAAAGAUAUAUUCUUGCAUUUUCUCUUCCUGUUGCUAGAUCUGCCAGUGAUCUGAUUGAUUUCAAAGUAUUUUAUCUGUAUGAUGUGUGCAAUACUGCU